This 213-nucleotide ribosomal RNA is filed under the name uncultured bacterium. RNAcentral's name for it is "partial 16S ribosomal RNA". It matches the Rfam family "Bacterial small subunit ribosomal RNA", at positions 524 to 734 of the family's 1533-position model. The record is from RNAcentral.
UACGGGGGGAGCAAGCGUUGUUCGGAUUUACUGGGCGUAAAGGGCGCGUAGGCGGUCGUGACAAGUCACUUGUGAAAUCUCCGGGCUUAACUCGGAACGGUCAAGUGAUACUGUCGGACUAGAGUACAGAAGGGGCAACUGGAAUUCUCGGUGUAGCGGUGAAAUGCGUAGAGUAUCGAGAGGAACACCUGCGGCGAAGGCGGGUUGCUGGGC